RNAcentral lists this ribosomal RNA (460 nucleotides) under uncultured bacterium. RNAcentral describes it as "partial 16S ribosomal RNA". It matches the Rfam family "Bacterial small subunit ribosomal RNA", at positions 338 to 795 of the family's 1533-position model. The record is from RNAcentral.
CCUACGGGUGGCAGCAGUGAGGAAUAUUGGUCAAUGGACGAGAGUCUGAACCAGCCAAGUAGCGUGAAGGAUGACUGCCCUAUGGGUUGUAAACUUCUUUUAUAUGGGAAUAAAAUUCAGCACGUGUACGGUUUUGUAUGUACCAUAUGAAUAAGGAUCGGCUAACUCCGUGCCAGCAGCCGCGGUAAUACGGAGGAUCCGAGCGUUAUCCGGAUUUAUUGGGUUUAAAGGGAGCGUAGGUGGAUGCUUAAGUCAGUUGUGAAAGUUUGCGGCUCAACCGUAAAAUUGCAGUUGAAACUGGGUGUCUUGAGUGCAGCAGAGGUGGGCGGAAUUCGUGGUGUAGCGGUGAAAUGCUUAGAUAUCACGAAGAACUCCGAUUGCGAAGGCAGCUUACUGGACUGCAACUGACGCUGAGGCUCGAAAGUGUGGGUAUCAAACAGGAUUAGAUACCCCUGUAGUC